Molecule: ribosomal RNA, 514 nt
Filed under: uncultured bacterium
Lineage: Bacteria
Description: partial 16S ribosomal RNA
Rfam family: Bacterial small subunit ribosomal RNA
Source: RNAcentral
GAUGAACGCUGGCGGCGUGCCUAAUACAUGCAAGUCGAGCGAACAGAUGAGAAGCUUGCUUCUCUGAUGUUAGCGGCGGACGGGUGAGUAACACGUGGGUAACCUACCUAUAAGACUGGGAUAACUCCGGGAAACCGGGGCUAAUACCGGAUAAUAUUUUGAACCGCAUGGUUCGAUAGUGAAAGACGGUUUCGGCCGUCACUUAUAGAUGGACCCGCGCCGUAUUAGCUAGUUGGUAAGGUAACGGCUUACCAAGGCGACGAUACGUAGCCGACCUGAGAGGGUGAUCGGCCACACUGGAACUGAGACACGGUCCAGACUCCUACGGGAGGCAGCAGUAGGGAAUCUUCCGCAAUGGGCGAAAGCCUGACGGAGCAACGCCGCGUGAGUGAUGAAGGUCUUCGGAUCGUAAAACUCUGUUGUUAGGGGAGAACAAAUUUGUUAGUAACUGAACAAGUCUUGACGGUACCUAACCAGAAAGCCACGGCUAACUACGUGCCAGCCGCCGCCGUAA